AAUAUUGCACAAUGGGCGCAAGCCUGAUGCAGCAACGCCGCGUGCCCGAGGACGGCCUUCGGGUUGUAAAGGGCUUUUUUGGCUGGCGAGGAAGGACGGGAGGCCAGGAACAAGCGGUGGCUACCCAUGUGCCAGCAGACGCGGUAAAACGUUGGACGCCAGCGUGAUCCGGAUUUACUGGGCGUAAAGCGCGGGCAGGCGGUGGUCCAAGUCGGACGUGAAAGCUCCCGGCUCAACUGGGAGAGGUCGUUCGGAACUGGGCCGCUAGAGGGCAGUAGAGGGGCGUGGAAUUCCGGGUGGAGUGGUGAGAUGCGUAGAGAUCCGGAGGAACACCAGAGGCGAAGGCGGCGCCCUGGGCUGCACCUGACGCUGAGGUGCGAAAGCGUGGGGAGCAAACAGG
RNAcentral lists this ribosomal RNA (400 nucleotides) under uncultured bacterium. RNAcentral describes it as "partial 16S ribosomal RNA". It matches the Rfam family "Bacterial small subunit ribosomal RNA", at positions 360 to 776 of the family's 1533-position model. The record is from RNAcentral.